Molecule: microRNA precursor, 106 nt
Filed under: Medicago truncatula (barrel medic)
Lineage: Eukaryota; Viridiplantae; Streptophyta; Magnoliopsida; Fabales; Fabaceae
Description: miR5222 stem-loop (mtr-MIR5222)
Source: miRBase by way of RNAcentral
GCUCAGUCCAUUACAGGAGAAGAAUGUAUGGCUUUUGAUGAUAAAAGCUUGACUAAUUUGUCUGGUAGAGUUCACCAUAUAAGUUUUUCCUUUAUUAAUUUGUAUA